GUGACAGAAGAGAGUGAGCACACAUGGUGUUUUCUUGCAUGAAUCUUUGAUUUCUCACCAUGCUUGAAGCUAUGCGUGCUCACCCUCUCUCUGUCAC
Molecule: microRNA precursor, 97 nt
Filed under: Erythranthe guttata (spotted monkey flower)
Lineage: Eukaryota; Viridiplantae; Streptophyta; Magnoliopsida; Lamiales; Phrymaceae
Description: Mimulus guttatus (spotted monkey flower) mir-156 microRNA precursor family
Rfam family: mir-156 microRNA precursor family
About the family: This family represents the plant microRNA (miRNA) precursor mir-156. Animal miRNAs are transcribed as ~70nt precursors and subsequently processed by the Dicer enzyme to give a ~22nt product.
Source: Rfam by way of RNAcentral